AGCAACACACCAUUACUGAAACGGAGCACUUUUACCUGUCAGAAUAAAUGCACAUUGAAUAUUUUAAUUAAAAGAUUCCACUUGAAAGCUUAUGAGACUCAUCCUUAUCUUCAAGUGAAAGAAGCACCUCAAGCAACAGCUGCACGCGUCCUGAAAACAGUGACGCAUCUAGAACAAGCCGUCCAACCGAAAACAGCAACACCACAUCUCUCCCUGUGGAAUCGAUUGAAGAGAAACCUGAGGAAAUAUACACUUUAGGAAAGCAGAGGAAAGAGCUAUAGUAGCGUAUUGGGAUCCACACCCAGAAAAAUGAGCAACACUUGGAUUAUUAAAGAAAAGCUGGAGCAGAUCAAGGCAGAAAUGCAGAGACUUUCAGAACGGCAUGCUCUCACUCGCCCUGAACGGAAAGCGUAUCAUCCUUUUGUGUGGAACAGCCUGAGUCCUUACAGAGACACCACAGAGAUUGACUAUCUGAUCGUCAUGGCCUCUGUCCAUCAUACCCGGAAUCGAAGAGCUUCAGUAAGAACUGUCCAUCUGUCACACUGACACAUCCUGUCCAUUCAUUUGAUGAAUAUUGGACAUUUAUGAUUUUCACACUGACAAACAUAAUGAGGAAAGUAAUGUAUUUAUAAUUUUACACAGCUAAUGAACAAUUAAUGUGCUAAAGCCUACACAAAACUCCUCUUUAUUCGAUUUAAUGACAUUACUGUUUGGGCAUACAUUAUGACUGGCCUUUCAGUAUUUGUCUGGCAAUAUAUUCUUCUUUUAGUCUUUUACAAGCUUUUAAUGUUUUACAAGCUCCAGCACUGAUCACACAGAGUACGUCACAGAGACGCACUGAACAUCCCACUGGCAAAUAAGAUUAAAAAGAAUGACUGUGAUAUAAUUUAUUGUGUCCUUCAUGUAAGUCCCAAUCAUUUUUAAAAUUCAAGCAUGUUGGAUCAUGCUGCUUGAAGACAGAGUUCAUAAAACGCCUAAAGAGCAUCUUUUAGAUAUGCAUAUGUGCCAUUGUGUGUGAAACCGCUUUGAAAUUCUUAGAUGUUCAACACAGAAACUGAUGAAA
Long non-coding RNA from Ictalurus punctatus (channel catfish), 1063 nucleotides. RefSeq lists it as uncharacterized. NCBI's taxonomy places the organism in Eukaryota, Metazoa, Chordata, Actinopteri, Siluriformes, Ictaluridae. The transcript has 5 exons. The record is from RefSeq and is a predicted model, not a curated record.